Molecule: ribosomal RNA, 508 nt
Filed under: uncultured bacterium
Lineage: Bacteria
Description: partial 16S ribosomal RNA
Rfam family: Bacterial small subunit ribosomal RNA
Source: RNAcentral
GACGAACGCUGGCGGCGCGCUUAACACAUGCAAGUCGAGCGAGAACCGGGGCUUCGGCCCCGGGGACAGCGGCGAACGGGUGAGUAACACGUGAGUAACCUGCCCUCGGCACCGGAAUAGCCCGGGGAAACCCGGAUUAAUGCCGGAUGGCCCCUCUGGCCUGCGGGGCGGCGGGAAAAGGGAGCUUCGGCCUCCGGCCGAGGAUGGGCUCGCGGCGGAUUAGCUUGUUGGCGGGGUAACGGCCCACCAAGGCGACGAUCCGUAGCUGGUCUGAGAGGACGAUCAGCCACACUGGGACUGAGACACGGCCCAGACUCCUACGGGAGGCAGCAGUGGGGAAUCUUGCGCAAUGGGCGAAAGCCUGACGCAGCGACGCCGCGUGCGGGAAGAAGGCCCUCGGGUUGUAAACCGCUUUCAGGAGGGACGAAGCCACUCGGGUGAACAGCCCAGAGGGUGACGGUACCUCCAGAAGAAGCCCCGGCUAACUACGUGCCAGCCGCCGCGGUAA